Molecule: ribosomal RNA, 443 nt
Filed under: Tomopterna krugerensis
Lineage: Eukaryota; Metazoa; Chordata; Amphibia; Anura; Pyxicephalidae
Description: partial 16S ribosomal RNA
Rfam family: Bacterial large subunit ribosomal RNA
Source: RNAcentral
UAAGAGGUCCAGCCUGCCCGGUGAUAAAAUUUAACGGCCGCGGUACCCUAACCGUGCGAAGGUAGCAUAAUCACUUGUUCUUUAAAUAAGGACUAGUAUCAACGGCAUCACGAGGGUUACACUGUCUCCUUUCCCCAAUCAGUGAAACUGAUCUCCCCGUGAAGAAGCGGGGAUAUAGCUAUAAGACGAGAAGACCCCAUGGAGCUUUAAGCUCAACAACACCUCCUUACAAAUACACCCCGGCAACCCACGAGUCCUGUUUGUUAGCUUUAGGUUGGGGUGACCGCGGAGUAUAACACAACCUCCACGACGAACAGGCCUAAAACCUUAAUCCAGAGCAACUGCUCUAAGAAUCAUAAAAUUGACGUAAAAUGAUCCGAUUCUCGAUCAACGAACCAAGUUACCCUGGGGAUAACAGCGCAAUCCAUUUCAAGAGCCCCUAU